GAUGAACGCUCGCUACAGGCUUAACACAUGCAAGUCGAGGGGCAGCAUGGUCUUAGCUUGCUAAGGCCGAUGGCGACCGGCGCACGGGUGAGUAACACGUAUCCAACCUGCCGUCUACUCUUGGACAGCCUUCUGAAAGGAAGAUUAAUACAAGAUGGCAUCAUGAGUCCGCAUGUUCACAUGAUUAAAGGUAUUCCGGUAGACGAUGGGGAUGCGUUCCAUUAGAUAGUAGGCGGGGUAACGGCCCACCUAGUCUUCGAUGGAUAGGGGUUCUGAGAGGAAGGUCCCCCACAUUGGAACUGAGACACGGUCCAAACUCCUACGGGAGGCAGCAGUGAGGAAUAUUGGUCAAUGGGCGCAGGCCUGAACCAGCCAAGUAGCGUGAAGGAGGACUGCCCUAUGGGUGGUAAACUUCUUUUAUAAAGGAAUAAAGUCGGGUAUGUAUACCCGUUUGCAUGUACUUGAUGAAUAAGGAUCGGCUAACUCCGUG
RNAcentral lists this ribosomal RNA (490 nucleotides) under uncultured bacterium. Its description in RNAcentral is "partial 16S ribosomal RNA". It matches the Rfam family "Bacterial small subunit ribosomal RNA", at positions 28 to 507 of the family's 1533-position model. The record is from RNAcentral.